AGAAAAGUAGGGGCAUGAUGUUUUAUCCAUAAACAAGCCUCAUAAAUUUUAGGGAAAUUGUAUCCACUAUUAUUGGGUGAACCUGUGUCCAUUGUUGAUGACAGAAGGUUCAGUAAACAAUGAGACAUGU
Musa acuminata subsp. malaccensis (wild Malaysian banana) is the source of this 130-nucleotide non-coding RNA. The record is from Rfam. NCBI's taxonomy places the organism in Eukaryota, Viridiplantae, Streptophyta, Magnoliopsida, Zingiberales, Musaceae.